This 254-nucleotide ribosomal RNA is filed under the name uncultured bacterium. RNAcentral's name for it is "partial 16S ribosomal RNA". It matches the Rfam family "Bacterial small subunit ribosomal RNA", at positions 524 to 776 of the family's 1533-position model. The record is from RNAcentral.
UACAGAGGGUGCGAGCGUUGUCCGGAAUCACUGGGCGUAAAGGGCGCGUAGGUGGUGGCUUAAGCGUGCGGUGAAAGCUCGGGGCUCAACUCCGAGUCGGCCGUGCGAACUGGGCUCACUGGAGCAUAGUAGAGGCAGGUGGAAUUCCGGGUGUAGCGGCGGAAUGCGUAGAGAUCCGGAAGAACACCAGUGGCGAAGGCGGCCCACUGGACGUGUAUUGACGCUGAGGUGCGAAAGCGUGGGGAGCAAACAGG